This 394-nucleotide ribosomal RNA is filed under the name Veillonella parvula. Its description in RNAcentral is "bacterial SSU rRNA". It matches the Rfam family "Bacterial small subunit ribosomal RNA", at positions 28 to 400 of the family's 1533-position model. The record is from RNAcentral. Lineage: Bacteria; Bacillati; Bacillota; Negativicutes; Veillonellales; Veillonellaceae.
GACGAACGCGGCGGCGUGCUUAACACAUGCAAGUCGAACGAAGAGCGAUGGAAGCUUGCUUCUAUCAAUCUUAGUGGCGAACGGGUGAGUAACGCGUAAUCAACCUGCCCUUCAGAGGGGGACAACAGUUGGAAACGACUGCUAAUACCGCAUACGAUCUAAUCUCGGCAUCGAGGAUAGAUGAAAGGUGGCCUCUACAUGUAAGCUAUCACUGAAGGAGGGGAUUGCGUCUGAUUAGCUAGUUGGAGGGGUAACGGCCCACCAAGGCGAUGAUCAGUAGCCGGUCUGAGAGGAUGAGCGGCCACAUUGGGACUGAGACACGGCCCAGACUCCUACGGGAGGCAGCAGUGGGGAAUCUUCCGCAAUGGACGAAAGUCUGACGGAGCAACGCCGC